CCUAAAUAGCUGUCUAUUAGACAUCUAGUAUCAUUAGCCUCAGACUUACAUUAGGCAUAGCAAUUAAGGUGAAUUGCACUACAGAGCACUCAGUUUUAAUGGCUAAUNCAAGUUGAUCUUAGUUGAAUUGCAAAUGUUAUUUGUGUUUUUUAAUGGUAUAGAGACCUCCCAGUUUUGAUAAUAUAGCACUCCAUACUUAAGUUGUAUGCUUUGUCUUUUAAAAGCCAAG
This 229-nucleotide unclassified non-coding RNA is filed under the name Hevea brasiliensis (rubber tree). Lineage: Eukaryota; Viridiplantae; Streptophyta; Magnoliopsida; Malpighiales; Euphorbiaceae. The record is from RNAcentral.